Molecule: unclassified non-coding RNA, 348 nt
Filed under: uncultured fungus
Lineage: Eukaryota; Fungi
Description: sequence contains ITS1
Rfam family: 5.8S ribosomal RNA (bases 1-105)
Source: RNAcentral
AAACUGCGAUACGUAGUGUGAAUUGCAGAAUUAAGUGAAUCAUCGAAUCUUUGAACGCAAAUUGCGCUGUUGGGCAUUCCUAACAGCAUGCUUGGCUGAGUAUCAUCUGGUCAAAUCCCAAAGUUUUUUCUUUGGUGGAAUUGAGGUGUCACAUUGGCAACAAUGCGUCCCUUUAAAUGCAGACGGUGAAGGAUGUUGGCGUUCUUGUACCACUAGUGUGUCAAUUGUCCUCUGGACAUCGUUGCACUAUGUCGGUGCUUGGACAUAAAACUGACGUUUGGAGCCUAUUAUCAACUCUUUUAACGAAACUUUGAUCUCAGCUCAAGCAAGACUACCCGCUGAAUUUAA